UUUGAGGAGUAGAAGAUCUAGUGAGAACAAAGUUCUGAAUAUGUAUAAAGUCCUGAGGAAACAAAGAUCUUGUGGGGAUUUGUGCUUCUGCAAAAAGUGCAUUGCGUCAUUUUCACCUUGCAGAGGAUUUGCUGCUACACUGAAGAACUCGUUAUGUAAACUCCCAGGACAAACCAAUAGAGCGAUAUAUGCAUCCUCUUCAGAUCUCUGGUGACAUUCCAAACGUGCAAGCACAAUUCUGUGGGCCAGAAGACGCGUUGCAUUCGGCUUAGACUAAGCAAGCUUCCAUUGUGAAGUGGACAAAACACAUGGGACCAUCUUGAGAGAGAGAGAGAAGCAUCUUCUUCCAACCUGAUGGAGCAUGUUGAUCGCCUUCCGGUGACUGGUCUUGCUUUACAGACCAGAAGAACACAAGGCAUGGUUCCUGUUGGUCUCCUACUGUCUCAAUUCUACCUGCACGAGGAGGUUCCAGUGAAGAUGAAAAAGGAAAAGUGCCUUCAUAGAUGUAGAGAGAGAAUAUCCUCAUUAAUGAGAAGAGGCUUAAAAAGGGGAGGAAAGAUGGUCUUAUGGAUAGAGGCCAGGACUGGAAGAGAACAAAUGCCAACAUAGCCAAGAUCCAAAAAACUUGACCUCAGCCUCAUGUUGUUAUUGGAAGUUAGGGUGGUCACGGCCAUGGUACAAAAAAUGGGGACAUCCAGAAUGAUCCUGAAUGCUGAAACUGGCCAGCUGGCAGUGUGCACUGAGCAUCCCUAUGGAUUUUCCAGGGCACCUCCUUCAAAAACGGAUGAUCCUGGGCACAGUAUUGUGGUAGCCAUGGUGGGCCCAGGAUAUGAGGGAGACAAGAUGGGUGAAGUAAUAUCAUCUAAUGGACCAACUUCUGUUGAUGAAAGAGACAAGCUUUCCAGAUCCACAGAGCCCAACAUCAAUAUCAAAUAGUACAGUUAAGAAAUCCACUUCCGCACUUGGACACAGCAACUCCAUAAAAAGCAAAGUUCUGUUAAAUCUCCUUUAUCUUCUGUGAUUGUUUUGAAUUAAACAUGAAUUGCAUCUCAAGGUCAAAGGAAGCAAUUAAAACGGGUUGUUUGCAAAGGAAGCCAUCAGUUCAGAUUUAAUCUCUUUGGCCCAAGUUAAAGUUCAAAAUGGAAUAUUUAAAAGACUGUUUUUUAACACAGGUGCCAUAUUUGUAUGACAACAUUGCACAUUCUGACCUGACCUCACAGGAAGUCUCAUCACACUUAUUCAUAGAUUAAUAGACUCCAAGAGGAACCUUAAGAACCAUUGAAUCUGACCACCUGUGAAGCAUAGGACAUAGAACUUCCCCACAAUAGUUCCUAGAGCAGAACUUUCAGAAAAAACAUCCAAUUUUAACUUCCAUUGAAAUCAAUGGGAAAAAAGCCUCCUGAAUCCAACGAGAGCUGGACUAACUGCAGAAUUAUGGAGUGAAGACAUGUAAUCGUCAUACUGUGAAAAUAUCUUUUUAAAAAAAUGGUUUUAUAGCUGGGAGAAAUUAUGCUGAUCGCAGUCUGAAAUUAUAAAUUAGACAUAGAACUAAAAGAUAUUUGGCAGUAGGUAGUGGAUCCAGUGUACAUUGGUCCCUGUAGGCCACGCCACAGGUACACUGGUGUAGCAGAAUUGAGGAAAUAUAGAUCCCCAUUGCUGGGCUGUUCCUUUUGUGGGGAUAAGUAUAUUCUUGUGGCACAAGUCCCAGAUAGUGGAAUUAUAUAGUUUUAUCCAAUUUCUUUUUUUGGUGUUUGAGCAAGAUAUAGUCUAUGCUAAACUAUUGUGUUAUGUACCAAAUCCACUUUCUGCUUGUGGGCAAAUCUUCUGUGAUGGCCACUCCAUAAAACUCCUUAAGCCAGCUGCUCCUCAUGGAGAAAGAAAUCCCUGGAUAAUUGUACAAAAAAAUGCCUGCUUUGCACAAAUAUUCCAAACUGCUUCUAGUCACUGCCUGAUAACUGUAGAACCACUUUGUCCACUCAGAUAUUAACAGCUAGCAGCUACAUAGCAAUUUAGUUUAAAUAUGUAAUUUGCAUUGAAGGCCAUAAAGAAAUUUCAACAGUUGAUAUAAAGUGAUUAGUAACACUUAGUCCUUAACUUCAAUGGGGUUUAUGAACAUAAAUUAAUGCUUACAACUCCAAGUGUUUCCCUCAUGUUACAGAAGGGGAAAAUAUAAAUAUUAGUGUCAGCGGGAGACACUGUCAGAACAAGUUUAGAACUCAACAGUUCCUGACUGCAGGCCUAUCUUCAGAUGAUGCUUCUCUACAGGCAUUCUUGCCGCCAUAUGUAACUUAAUAUCAUGCUAUUUUAUUCUCAAAUGGAAUGUGUUAAUCCAAAUAGUUUUUUCAGGUUUUUAUUUGUGCAUCUACAUUGGGUGUCCCUGCCUGUCCAACCAGCACUCUGUGCCCCAAACUCUUUUCUUAGUUUCCUCUACAGCAAUAUUGUCAGCACUACAGGUACUGCUUGCUGGCUGCCCCCUCCUUCACUUAUAUGCACCCUUAUCCAAGCAAUGCCCAGCUGAGUCCCUGCCUGUUUCAUUAGGAAAGAACAGAGCUGAAUGCAGGUUAAGUUGAACGUAUUAAACCUACAGCCUGCUCUGUCCAUUGAGAUUAGUUGCUUCCAGUUCCUCCUCAGUCAUGGUUCUACCAAAGAACAUGGGUCAUCUGACUUCAGUUCCACUGGUCAGGAUAUAUUGCCCACAUAGUUAACAUUCCAGAUUGACCUUAAGAAUGUCUUUCUUUUGGCUGGAGACACGGACUUGCACUAGGCUGCUUAACUGCUUACAAUGCCUGCUUACAAUGGCUUCUUCACAUUUAUUCUGAAUACAAGGCAGUGAUUAUGCCCAACCCGUAAUAAUAAGGUUUCACCGAAUCCUAACAUUAGCUUGAUUUUUAUAGGUCUAUAGCUAUGUUACUGAUACAACUUUGGGUUUUUUUUUAUGGAUAACACCUAUACAUUAUU
Non-coding RNA from Pelodiscus sinensis (Chinese soft-shelled turtle), 2958 nucleotides. The record is from RefSeq and is a predicted model, not a curated record. NCBI's taxonomy places the organism in Eukaryota, Metazoa, Chordata, Testudines, Trionychidae.